ACGGAAGGCAGCAGUGAGGAAUAUUGGUCAAUGGACGGAAGUCUGAACCAGCCAAGUCGCGUGAAGGAAGACGGUUCUAUGGAUUGUAAACUUCUUUUGUCCGAGGGUAAAGUGGGAGAUGCGUCUCUUAUUGCAAGUAUCGGACGAAUAAGCAUCGGCUAACUCCGUGCCAGCAGCCGCGGUAAUACGGAGGAUGCGAGCGUUAUCCGGAUUUAUUGGGUUUAAAGGGUGCGUAGGCGGGUGAUUAAGUCAGUGGUGAAAGCGUGCGGCUCAACCGUACCGAGCCAUUGAAACUGGUUAUCUUGAGUGUAAACGAGGUAGGCGGAAUGUGACAUGUAGCGGUGAAAUGCUUAGAUAUGUCACAGAACUCCGAUUGCGAAGGCAGCUUACCAGCAUACGACUGACGCUGAGGCACGAAAGCGUGGGUAUCAAACAGGAUUAGAUACCCUGGUA
This 453-nucleotide ribosomal RNA is filed under the name uncultured Porphyromonadaceae bacterium. RNAcentral describes it as "partial 16S ribosomal RNA". It matches the Rfam family "Bacterial small subunit ribosomal RNA", at positions 341 to 792 of the family's 1533-position model. Lineage: Bacteria; Pseudomonadati; Bacteroidota; Bacteroidia; Bacteroidales; Porphyromonadaceae. The record is from RNAcentral.